ACAAGGACAGAAGACACUUUUAUGCAGCGUUCUUUCUACUCCUAUAUCGCAUCCACUUACACGAUAAUUUAAGAUUAUAUGACUCGCGUACUCUAACUCUUUGUAUAUCUAUGGUUAUAAUAGACAUUUAUUGCAGUCUCACAGUUGUUCGAAAUUUUUAGUUUUACAACAUGUCUAAGAAUCAUCGAAAUGGAAAGCAGACUGGUCUUCUUCGUCCAUUGCUUGUUCUGGAUUUAUGUUACAUGUUGAUGGUUAAUGGUUCUGAUUGGAUGUAUGAGAUGUCCAUUCAUUGGGGUAUAGCAGGUGCUGGAAAAAUAUCACAUGAUUUUGUAACAUGCUUACGAACAUUACCAGAAUCCGAACAUGUAGUUCUUGCAGUAGCGGCACGUGAACUAUCAAGGGCACAGAACUUUUCUAGCUUACAUAAAAUUAAAAAGGCGUUCGACAAUUAUGUAGAGCUAGCGGAAGACAAGAAUAUUGAUGUCGUAUAUAUUGGAACGUUACAUCCUCAACACUUUGACAUUGCAAAGUUAAUGUUAAAUCAUGGGAAACAUGUUUUAUGUGAAAAACCUUUAACUAUGAAUUUGAAGCAAACAACAGAGUUGAUAAAUUUAGCAAAGCAGAAGAAGUUGUUCUUAAUGGAAGGUAUUUGGAGUAGAUGUUUUCCUAUAUAUGAAACUCUUAAAAAAGAAAUUGAAUCCGGAAGUAUUGGAGAUGUUCAUCAAGUUCUUGUAUCCUUCGGAUUUAGAAUGCCAGAUGUUCAACGACUCAACAUAAAAAGUCUAGGAGGCGGUACCAUAUUGGACUUGGGCGUGUAUGGAAUUCAAUUUGCUUGUUUAAUAUUUAAUAACGAAACACCUCAUACUGUACAAGCUGCUGGGUGCUUAAAUGAAGAGGGGGUUGAUCAAUCUGUAUCUACUACCUUUCUUUACAAAGGAAACCGUACUGCAACCAUUAUUACUCACUGUCUAGUUGAUUUACCGAAUGAAGCUUACAUCAUUGGUACAAAAGGAAUGAUAAAAGUUCCGAACUUUUGGUGUCCUACAACGGUAGAAUUGCCAAGUGGUAAAAUAAAUAUACCACUUCCUGAAACUGAAUAUAAGUUUAAUUUUAUCAACAGCGUUGGAUUUGUUUAUGAAGCUAAUGAAGUUCGCAAUUGCAUUUUAGCAGGUGUAACUGAAAGCUCUAAAGUACCGCACAAUGUUUCUUUAUUAGUUGCACAAUUAGAGGACGAAAUUCGAAGACAAGUUGGAGUUACGUAUCUUGAAGAUUAAACCUUAUCAUAGACGAAAUAAUUUCAACGUAGUUAAAUGUUCUGAAUAAUGUGUAAUUACAUUAAUUCAUAUCAGAACUUUAGAGAAGCUUUCUUGUAUACACAUAUAUGUAUAUAUAAAAGCUGUAUGCCCUAUACAAAACAUAUAUACAACAUAACUACAAACAGUAUGGAACGUAAGAAAAUAUUGGUCACGACUAUCAUAGCUACAUUUUACGUCUUCAAAUCGAUGGAGAUCUAUCAAAAAAAUAUUCUGCAAAAUGAUCCUUUACUGUGGAACUCAAAUUCGUAUCUUUUUUCAUUGGAUGUUUUUCAUUUUCUUGUCAUGUAGAGGCUAAAUCUGAACUAAUCAUGUGUCGCGACUUGAUCGUUCUUUAAAAUAUUUCUCUUAAAAUACUAUAAAAGUUCCAUUACUAUUUAAGCUAACGUUUUACAUUAUUUUAUUAAAAAAAAUAUAGAAUCCGAAGAAUAGUCAACAGCUGCAGAGAACCUUCAAAUUGAAUCGGUAAUUUUCUACCGGAAAGCACGUCUUCGGUUUCUUCGUUGAACAUUAUUUGCUAACAACUCUUCGAUAAAAAAAACACUUGCUGUCAAUUCUUCGGUCAGAACACACUUUAACUUGUUAUUCGGUCUUCGAUAAGAACACAACAAAAUCUCUUCAGUUGCAACACUCACAAACACUUAUAUUAUUCAAAAGCUGUUGGAAAUAAAUAGUGAUAUUUAAACUGUGAACUCAGUAUCAAAGUUAUUCAAACUACCCCUAUUAUCUUAACCAAUAUAGGGGAUCGGCUGAUUCGUGGCGUCGAUUAUCGUAUCGAGACGGGAACUUACGACUCUGACGCGUUAUACUGCGAACGCGAAUAUGGUCAAACACUUACGUUCGUCAAGUUGCUGCAAAAAUUGUAAAUUCUCAUAUGGAGUUAUUCUAAAUUUAUAUCGGAACACUGAAAAAUGCUUUCGUAUACAUAUUGGCUAUAAAUAAUAAGUAUACAUUUUUGCAUCAACUGAUUUUAUUGAAAUUUUCAGUAUGUAUGUAUUCAUCUCACGUGUUGUAUUCGUUAUUGUACUUUGUAAAUAAUAAAGCGUUGUGAACUAAAUUAA
This is an RNA transcript of Bombus terrestris (buff-tailed bumblebee), 2374 nucleotides long. It is a transcript of the gene named trans-1,2-dihydrobenzene-1,2-diol dehydrogenase, with no coding region annotated. The record is from RefSeq and is a predicted model, not a curated record. Lineage: Eukaryota; Metazoa; Arthropoda; Insecta; Hymenoptera; Apidae. The transcript has 7 exons.